Molecule: ribosomal RNA, 488 nt
Filed under: uncultured soil bacterium
Lineage: Bacteria
Description: bacterial SSU rRNA
Rfam family: Bacterial small subunit ribosomal RNA
Source: RNAcentral
AGAUUGAACGCUGGCGGCCGGCCUAACACAUGCAAGUCGAGCGGUAGAGAGGUGCUUGCACCUCUUGAGAGCGGCGGACGGGUGAGUAAUGCCUAGGAAUCUGCCUAGUGGUGGGGGAUAACGUUCGGAAACGGACGCUAAUACCGCAUACGUCCUACGGGAGAAAGCGGGGGACCUUCGGGCCUCGCGCCAUUAGAUGAGCCUAGGUCGGAUUAGCUAGUUGGUGAGGUAAUGGCUCACCAAGGCGACGAUCCGUAACUGGUCUGAGAGGAUGAUCAGUCACACUGGAACUGAGACACGGUCCAGACUCCUACGGGAGCAGCAGUGGGAAUAUUGGACAAUGAGCGAAAGCCUGAUCCAGCCAUGCCGCGUGUGUGAAGAAGGUCUUCGGAUUGUAAAGCACUUUAAGUGGAGAGGUUGUAACUUAAGUACGUUGCAAUUUGACGUUACCGACAGAAUAGCACCGGCUAACUUCGCGCUAGCAGCCG